CCUGCAUGGCAUAACAUAUGCAUCAUAUGU
Molecule: non-coding RNA, 30 nt
Filed under: Mus musculus (house mouse)
Lineage: Eukaryota; Metazoa; Chordata; Mammalia; Rodentia; Muridae
Source: RNAcentral